Molecule: long non-coding RNA, 957 nt
Organism: Oncorhynchus nerka (sockeye salmon)
Lineage: Eukaryota; Metazoa; Chordata; Actinopteri; Salmoniformes; Salmonidae
Exons: 3
Source: RefSeq, a predicted model, not a curated record
UCAGCGGCUGAUUGCUCCCAAUAGGAAUCCCUACCCAUUUGACAACUUUACCCAGUCGACAAUGUCCAUGCCAAAACGGGUUAUAUUAAAGUUGAAUCCUCUAGCUAUCUCAAUGACCUCCACCUGUUUCAUACAAAAGGGUGGUGCAUUUCCUUGAGCCAGAGGUGGAAGGACAGGAGAAACACUGACAUGGUUGCAGUUAAUGUAUGUUUAAGCAGGGAACUUGGCUUGCCAAGAGAAGGAGAGGAGUGAGAGAGGACAACGGGGAGAUGAGGAUGGCUGAUGAAGAUGACCAUUGCUAACCCUAAGGAGCUGGAUGCUCUGAUGGAUGAGAAGGCUUAUGAGAGAUACAUCAGAUCCAUAGAAGACUAGCAUUGCCUAGACGCAACCCUCAUCACCCCCUCACCUGCCUAGCAAUCCCUACUAGAGAGGAAGUGCACCAGUUGUGCCGGGAGUCGGAUGUGACACUACACCGGGAAACCACCAGAGCUCAUCCUUAUUGACUUGCCAGUGUUAUUGUGGUCUGAAUGUUAAGUCUUUAGUGUACUGGUAAUGACUAUGACCUAAUGGGGAUGUUGGGAGCAAAUGUCUUACACAUGUGGCAUGACAUACUGUACAUGGCUGAUGUAGAGUGAUACUGUACGAGUCCUGAUGCAUUCUCUGGCUGAAUCUCAAGUCUUAUCCUUGAUUCCUUGUGUCCUUUCUCCGCCUCCUUAAUUAAAUCAUUAGAGGGUUUCAUUAUGUUUUGAGGAGUUAAGGACACAAAAGAAUUGAGGAAAAUACUUUAAGAUUAAUCCUCAGUCUUCCACUCAAAGCCUUCCCCAAGCACAGGGGAUGAGGAAUGAGGAAGAUUCAUUCCCAUGUCUUUCAGCAACAAAAGUGGUUAUUAUGAUCUCUCUUUAAAUGGUCAAAUUGUAUUUUUGAUCGUUUAGUGCCGACUUAAUUUUUUACUAAUGG